UCUCUCUCUGUCGGCAGCCACCACCAACACACAGCUUCUCUCCGCUCUGCUUUUCCCUCUCUACCGAGCAAACCAGCAGGCAGCAACACCCAGCGCUGCAUCCGUUCUCACUCUCCUCCUUUUCCUUUGCUGUCCACUCCAGUCGAGCAAGCACGGCAGCCACAUCCUCCUCUCAGCUCUAACAGGCAGCAGCGCCACAACUCUACUCCGUUUCUCCCUAGCAACACAAGCCGGCGGCAGCACCCUCUCCCCUCAGCUCCACCUCCCUCUCUCCAGCGCCAUCCUCCUCACAGCAGCGGGCCAGGCCCCAGCGGCGGCCGGCGGCCAGGCGCCCAAGCCUGUGGCAGGGCUCGCGCGGCCAGGCCAACGGCUGGCAGCAGCCAGGCUCCGGGCGACCGGGCCAGCGGCCACGAGGCAACGGCGGCGCGGCCAGGAAUGACGCGCGGCCGGUGCGGCCAAGCAGCGUCGUCGCCAGCGCGCCGAUGUCAGCCCCGGCGCUGGCGGUGGACCGCGACGUCAUCCUUGCCCCGCAAGUGUUCGGCAAAGUGCCUCAACGGCCUCCUGAAGCUACUGCCCUACACGUGUUCGACGAAAUGCUCGGACGACGUCCGCGAGGUGAAGCCGAAGUCACGCCGGGAACGACGACGACGCCGCGCGGCCGCAAGGACGAGGAACUGAGGUGGAGAAGACGCCGAUGAGCUCGAAGCCGGUGCUGCGCGUCUACGGUGACGACGACCCCCCUGGCGCUCCACCUGACCUCGCCGACGAACCGAAAGCCCGCCAUCCAUAACCACGAGUCGGACCAUCCCUACGCCUUCGACGCCGUUGCCGGGUACCGCGAGCACAGGCCUGCCUGCACCGCACCGAGCCGUCACGGCCACGCCUCGCCGAGGCGUCGCUACCCUGUCCUCUCCAAGCCCCACGACGACGAGCCGUUCGAUACUGUGCCGGAUGCUGAGCGAGGCUCUGACCUAAUACUCGAGAACAUGAAUGAUCAGCAACAAGGCAAGUACCCCCUUCAUCUUUGCUCCUAUUUAAAUGCCUAAGCCUGUGAUUUAUAUGCAUGCGAUGAUGAUUUUAUGAGUUCAAAUAUCAUUUUGUGUCGCGUAGACAUGUCCUACUUUAAUGCAUAUACCUGCCUUGUUAUUUUAAACCUUUUAUGCAUUGUCGCCAUAAGGUUAUGGGUUAUUCGUUCAGCUCGGUGUCAUAUGCUUAGUUUGCUUAGACCUAAUACGCGGUCACUUAAAUAGCAUCACUUGGGAGGGAUGAUUUGAAAGAUAAAUAUGGUUUAUAUUCGAAAAAUAAAAACUCUAUGGUACACGCGGGUGAUAAUAUGGUCUAGAGGUCAUGAUGAUACGAGGAUAAAAAAAGAUGGAUGAUAAAAUGAAUGGUGGAUAUGAUUUGGUCCUAUAUGCAUUUCCGGUGCAUUUUAGGGAUUCUCACCCGUGUCAAAUUAAGGACCGGAAAUUGGCAUCUUCUAGUUGAAGUAUUACAUUACAACCACAUGUACUUAAAUGGGUACACAUGUGCUUAAAUGGGUACAACCUUAGCUUAAUAAGUCAGUUGGCCUCGAGGUGGUGUUACCGCCCGAGUGCACGAGAUGCAUGUCGGUGUCGGGGUAGCUAACCCGGGCAGAUGUAUAAAGGCGCUCCUAUAGUCUGUCGUGUAGCAUAUGUCGAGUCCGACUGAGGUAAGAGCUCUGUCAUGCUCACUUGUCGGCACAUUUCGGAAAUGUGUCAAUCCGCGAUGGCAUCAAAGUGGAGCAUGUCGUGUGGGUAAAGUGUACAAACUCUACAUAGUGUUAAAAACUAUUCAAAUAGCCAUGCUCACGGUUAUGAGCAACUUGGAGCAACUUGGACUGGUCGCCAGUUAUAGAGUUUUGUUUUGUAAACUUGGAGAUGGGCUUGAAUGAUAUCACAUGCACCGGUUCAAAUAUUUUGUACCGAUAUAGUUGGUCAGAGGACCUAACGCGGUAUGGGAAAUGGUGAGUCAUGAUUGGUAAUGUCAAUCUAUUUUAAAUAUACUAAACUAAUUUAUAAAAUAUGCGUAAAAUGAUGAAUUUAAAUAAAAUGCAGCCUACUGCUAGUUGAAUCUGUCAGCCUUCCUUGUUUACCUUGCAUGUAUGAUAGGAUUUUUCUAUACACUCGAAGUCUUGCGAGUACAAAAUUGUACUCACCCUUGUUGCUUAAAUUAAAAAUCCAAAGUUCGAAGGAGAAUCGUCUCUGUUCAGUUCCGGAUGCGGGUUUUGCAACGUUGGUUCUUUCUAGGACUAACUCCCAGUCAAUUGCCUGUGGGAUGGUGAGGCACGCUACUGUAGAAUGGAAGUCCUAUAUUUCUGUUUGCUUCUGCUGUAGAUUAUAAUUUAGCUCUGAUCAAAUCUUAUUACUAACAAAUUUCGUGUGCAGUUGUGAUACAGGUGCUGUUGUGCGUACUUGCGGACUGAUCAUGGGACAAGUAUAGUAAGCACAACUGGAACUUGGGUAUUUGCGUACCCGGGGUCCUGACAGUAUGCUUGUUUCAUAGAGUGUUGAUGCUUAUUAUUGGUAUACUUUUUGUGCCAUUUAACUAGUGUUUUCAUUCAUAUUCUUAUACUAACCCGACACUUAGCACUUGAAAUAACCUCAUUAUUGCAUGUGUUGUAUUUUGAAGCAUAUUGUAUUUUGGUAGGAAAUACGACAGGGGGUUUUUAUAAAAAGCUUAAUGGGUAUUUGGACAUGGGUCAUCGAGGGAAACCAGCAUGAGGAAGGAGAGGACCAAAAGGAACAAAAAGGGCCUAAGCCAAUCAGCCUGGGAUCCUCUGGGCCGAUCGGCCUGGCCCAUUCCGGGAUCCGGUCGACCUUCCAUUUCUUCAGCGUGAAGUCUCCGACAUUGUUUAGGAUUUUUUCACCAACAUCGACCCAGAACCGCUGCCUAUAAAAGACUAUUAAUAUCCUCUCCACCGCCGCCACAAGAUUAGAAAAUGGAGAGAAGAUUGGAUCUACAGAAGACCACGCGAAGAGGAGCACCAGGAGAGGUGAAAACUCCUCAAGCUGAUCGGCUUGGAGGUGCCCAGGUCGAUCGGCCUGGGGCUUUCCUACCUCUGUUCCUCGUCGUCUUCAGUCCAGUUGAUCUACAGGACGUCCCUUACCCCCUUUUGCGUCAACAUGUGUAAUAUCAUGGGGUAAUACCUUUGUUUGUUCUCGGAAUUGUAUGGAGAUCUUGAUUUGUAAUCGCCGAACCUUUGGUUAAGAUUUGUUUUGUUAUCAUUCA
Long non-coding RNA from Setaria italica (foxtail millet), 3249 nucleotides. RefSeq lists it as uncharacterized. The record is from RefSeq and is a predicted model, not a curated record. The transcript is spliced from 2 exons. NCBI's taxonomy places the organism in Eukaryota, Viridiplantae, Streptophyta, Magnoliopsida, Poales, Poaceae.